CCUACGGGUGGCAGCAGUGGGGAAUAUUGGACAAUGGGGGCAACCCUGAUCCAGCCAUGCCGCGUGUGUGAAGAAGGCCCUCGGGUUGUAAAGCACUUUCAGUGAGGAAGAACGCCUGGUGGUUAAUACCCAUCAGGAAAGACAUCACUCACAGAAGAAGCACCGGCUAACUCCGUGCUAGCAGCCGCGGUAAUACGGAGGGUGCGAGCGUUAAUCGGAAUUACUGGGCGUAAAGCGCGCGUAGGUGGCUUGAUAAGCCGGUUGUGAAAGCCCCGGGCUCAACCUGGGAACGGCAUCCGGAACUGUCAAGCUAGAGUGCAGGAGAGGAAGGUAGAAUUCCCGGUGUAGCGGUGAAAUGCGUAGAGAUCGGGAGGAAUACCAGUGGCGAAGGCGGCCUUCUGGACUGGCACUGACACUGAGGUGCGAAAGCGUGGGUAGCAAACAGGAUUAGAUACCCGGGUAGUC
RNAcentral lists this ribosomal RNA (465 nucleotides) under Vreelandella stevensii. RNAcentral's name for it is "partial 16S ribosomal RNA". It matches the Rfam family "Bacterial small subunit ribosomal RNA", at positions 338 to 795 of the family's 1533-position model. The record is from RNAcentral. Lineage: Bacteria; Pseudomonadati; Pseudomonadota; Gammaproteobacteria; Oceanospirillales; Halomonadaceae.